Molecule: ribosomal RNA, 164 nt
Filed under: Brachypodium mexicanum
Lineage: Eukaryota; Viridiplantae; Streptophyta; Magnoliopsida; Poales; Poaceae
Description: 5.8S ribosomal RNA
Rfam family: 5.8S ribosomal RNA
About the family: 5.8S ribosomal RNA (5.8S rRNA) is a component of the large subunit of the eukaryotic ribosome. It is transcribed by RNA polymerase I as part of the 45S precursor that also contains 18S and 28S rRNA.
Source: RNAcentral
GACACGACUCUUGGCAACGGAUAUCUCGGCUCUCGCACCGAUGAAGAACGUAGCGAAAUGCGAUACCUGGUGUGAAUUGCAGAAUCCCGCGAACCAUCGAGCCUUUGAACGCAAGUUGCGCCCGAGGCCACCCGGUCGAGGGCACGCCUGCCUGGGCGUCACGC